This 460-nucleotide ribosomal RNA is filed under the name uncultured bacterium. RNAcentral's name for it is "partial 16S ribosomal RNA". It matches the Rfam family "Bacterial small subunit ribosomal RNA", at positions 338 to 795 of the family's 1533-position model. The record is from RNAcentral.
CCUACGGGAGGCUGCAGUGAGGAAUAUUGGUCAAUGGGCGCGAGCCUGAACCAGCCAAGUAGCGUGAAGGAUGACUGCCCUACGGGUUGUAAACUUCUUUUAUAAAGGAAUAAAGUGAGGCACGUGUGCCUUUUUGUAUGUACUUUAUGAAUAAGGAGCGGCUAACUCCGUGCCAGCAGCCGCGGUAAUACGGAGGAGACGAGCGUUAUCCGGAUUUAUUGGGUUUAAAGGGAGCGUAGAUGGGUUGUUAAGUCAGUUGUGAAAGUUUGCGGCUCAACCGGAAAAUUGCAAUUGAUACUGGCAGUCUUGAGUACAGUUGAGGUAGGCGGAAUGCGUGGUGUAGCGGUGAAAUGCUUAGAUAUCACGAAGAACUCCGAUUGCGAAGGCAGCUUACUAAACUGCCACUGACAUUGAUGCUCGAAAGUGUGGGGAGCAAACAGGAUUAGAUACCCUAGUAGUC